GAUGAACGCUGGCGGCGUGCCUAAUACAUGCAAGUCGAGCGAACAGACGCGGAGCUUGCUUCUCUUACGUUAGCGGCGGACGGGUGAGUAACACGUGGAUAACCUACCUAUAAGACUGGGAUAACUUCGGGAAACCGUAGCUAAUACCGGAUAAUAUUUUGAACCGCAUGGUUCAAUAGUGAAAGACUGUUUUGCUGUCACUUAUAGAUGGAUCCGCGCUGCAUUAGCUAGUUGGUAAGGUAACGGCUUACCAAGGCAACGAUGCGUAGCCGACCUGAGAGGGUGAUCGGCCACACUGGAACUGAGACACGGUCCAGACUCCUACGGGAGGCAGCAGUAGGGAAUCUUCCGCAAUGGGCGAAAGCCUGACGGAGCAACGCCGCGUGAGUGAUGAAGGUCUUCGGAUCGUAAAACUCUGUUAUUAGGGAAGAACAAAUGUGUAAGUAACUGUGCACGUCUUGACGGUACCUAAUCAGAAAGCCACGGCUAACUACGUG
Molecule: ribosomal RNA, 497 nt
Filed under: uncultured bacterium
Lineage: Bacteria
Description: partial 16S ribosomal RNA
Rfam family: Bacterial small subunit ribosomal RNA
Source: RNAcentral